AGGGAAACAACCCAGACCGCCAGCUAAGGUCCCAAAGUCAUGGUUAAGUGGGAAACGAUGUGGGAAGGCCCAGACAGCCAGGAUGUUGGCUUAGAAGCAGCCAUCAUUUAAAGAAAGCGUAAUAGCUCACUGGUCGAGUCGGCCUGCGCGGAAGAUGUAACGGGGCUAAACCAUGCACCGAAGCUGCGGCAGCGACACUAUGUGUUGUUGGGUAGGGGAGCGUUCUGUAAGCCUGUGAAGGUGGCCUGUGAGGGUUGCUGGAGGUAUCAGAAGUGCGAAUGCUGACAUAAGUAACGAUAAAGCGGGUGAAAAGCCCGCUCGCCGGAAGACCAAGGGUUCCUGUCCAACGUUAAUCGGGGCAGGGUGAGUCGACCCCUAAGGCGAGGCCGAAAGGCGUAGUCGAUGGGAAACAGGUUAAUAUUCCUGUACUUGGUGUUACUGCGAAGGGGGGACGGAGAAGGCUAUGUUGGCCGGGCGACGGUUGUCCCGG
Molecule: ribosomal RNA, 490 nt
Filed under: Escherichia coli IS35
Lineage: Bacteria; Pseudomonadati; Pseudomonadota; Gammaproteobacteria; Enterobacterales; Enterobacteriaceae
Description: LSU rRNA
Rfam family: Bacterial large subunit ribosomal RNA
Source: RNAcentral